Molecule: non-coding RNA, 121 nt
Filed under: Geobacter sp.
Lineage: Bacteria; Pseudomonadati; Thermodesulfobacteriota; Desulfuromonadia; Geobacterales; Geobacteraceae
Description: MoCo sequence
Rfam family: Molybdenum/Tungsten riboswitch aptamer (Moco RNA motif)
Source: RNAcentral
UAUGCAGAACGUCUCCGAGCCGCGGCCGUCUAAAGGGAAACUCCCCAGGGCGCCGCAGCCGUCGGGUGCUGCCGGAAACGGCACCGCCUCCCUUUUGGAAAGGAGAAGCACCGCCGCAUGA